UCGGGAAUUUUGGGCAAUGGGGGAAACCCUGACCCAGCAACGCCGCGUGAAGGAUGAAGUAUUUCGGUAUGUAAACUUCGAAAGAAUAGGAAGAAUAAAUGACGGUACUAUUUAUAAGGUCCGGCUAACUACGUGCCAGCAGCCGCGGUAAUACGUAGGGACCAAGCGUUGUUCGGAUUUACUGGGCGUAAAGGGCGCGUAGGCGGCAUGACAAGUCACUUGUGAAAUCUCUGGGCUUAACCCAGAACGGCCAAGUGAUACUGUCGCGCUAGAGUGCAGAAGGGGCAAUCGGAAUUCUUGGUGUAGCGGUGAAAUGCGUAGAUAUCAGGAGGAAUACCGGUGGCGAAAGCGACUCUCUGGACGGCAACUGACGCUGAGGCACGAAAGCGUGGGGAGCAAACAGGAUUAGAUACCCCAGUAGUCCCUGAGCGGGCUGGCAAGGCGCAU
This 447-nucleotide ribosomal RNA is filed under the name uncultured bacterium. RNAcentral describes it as "bacterial SSU rRNA". It matches the Rfam family "Bacterial small subunit ribosomal RNA", at positions 355 to 825 of the family's 1533-position model. The record is from RNAcentral.